UGAUCAAGCUACGAAGGGCACACGAUGAAUGCCUUGGUGCCAAUAGGCGAAGAAGGACGCGACAAGCUGCGAUAAGCCACGGAGAGCGGCACAUACGCUUUGACCCGUGGAUUUCCGAAUGGGGUAACCUGGCCGGGUGAAUGCCCGGCCGUUAUGGAGUGAAUACAUAGUUCCAUACACGCAAUACCUGGUGAAGUGAAACAUCUCAGUAACCAGAGGAAAAGAAAGUGAAAACGAUUCCGUCAGUAGCGGCGAGCGAAAGCGGAAGAGCCCAAACCAACAGCUUGCUGUUGGGGUUGUAGGAGCCCGAUGUGAUAGUGCAAAGGUUAGGUGAAGCGAAUGGAAAAUCGCUCCAUAGAGGGUGAAAGGCCCGUAACCGAAAACUGGAGCACGUCUAGGGAAUUCCUGAGUAACACGAUAUAAGUGAAGUCUCGUGUGAAUCCGCGCGGACCACCGCGUAAGGCUAAAUACUAAUUGGCGACCGAUAGUGAACAAGUACCGCGAGGGAAAGGUGAAAAGCACCGCUGUGAGCGGAGUGAAAUAGAACCUGCAAUCGUGUGCCUACAAGGUGUCAGAGCCCCGCAAGGGGUGAUGGCGUGCCUUUUGCUUAAUGAGUCUGCGAGUUAUUGUCAGUGGCAAGCCUAAGUCCUUCUGGGACGGAGGCGCAGCGAAAGCGAGUCUGAAAACGGCGCUUAGUCACUGGCAGUAGACCCGAAGCCGAGGUGAUCUACCCAUGGCCAGGUUGAAGCGUCAGUAACAUGACGUGAAGGACCGAACUGGUGCCUCUUGAGAAAGGCUCGGAUGAGCUGUGGGUAGGAGCGAAAGACUAAUCAAACCCGGUGAUAGCUGGUUCUCCCCGAAAUAGCUUGAGGGCUAGCCUCGUGUGCUGAUCGUUGGAGGUAGAGCACUGGAUGAACUAGAGCCCAUACCCGGGUAUCGAAUUCAAUCAAACUCCGAAUGCCAACGAGUGUAACACGGGAGUCAGUGCGUGAGGGAUAAGCUUCACGCGCGAGAGGCAAACAUGCCAGACCAGCAGCUAAGGUGCCUAAACGAUGCUUAGUGGAAAGGAUGUGGAGAUACUUAGACAAUGAGGAUGUUGGCUUAGAGGCAGCCAUCAUUUAAACAGUGCGUAAUAGCUGACUCAUCGAGUGUUUCCGCGCCGAAAAUGAUUGGCGAUAAGUGUCGUACCGAAGCUCUGGAUGGCCACUGGUUUCGACUGGUGGUCGUGGUAGGGGAGCGUUGUAGCGGCCUUGAAGCGGGAGCGAAAGCAACCGUGGAGCUUCUACAAGUGAGAAUGCAGACAUGAGUAGCGAAAAGACUGGUUGAAUUCCAGUCCGCCGUAAACCCAAGGUUUCCUGGGGAAGGUUCGUCCUCCCAGGGUUAGUCGGGACCUAAGUCGAGGCCGAAGGGCGUAGACGAUGGACAGCAGGUUUAAUAUUCCUGCACCGCCGACAUUUAAAUUUGGGGGACGUGUGUGCGGAGAAGGUCUGGGCGAUGAUUGUCCCAGUCCCGCAAGGGGACGUGGAGGCUUCGGCCAAAGCGGAUCCUUUAAAGCAUGCACCGAGAAAAACCCAAAGGAAUACUAAGGCGCCCGUACCGGAAACCGACACAGGUGGGUGGGCAUAAAUGUGCCCAGGCGCGUGAGUGAAACCUCGUUAAGGAACUCGGCAAUCUAGCCCCGUAACUUCGGAAGAAGGGGUGCCCACUUUUAGUGGGUCGCAGUGAAAUGGGUGUACCGACUGUUUAUCAAAAACACAGCACUCUGCUAAGUCGUAAGACAACGUAUAGGGUGUGACACGUGACCAAUGCGGAAAGAUUACGGUAAGUGGUUAGGCGCAAGCCGAAGCUACGAGCCCAAGUCCCCGUGAAUGUCGGCCGUAACUAUAACGGUCCUAAGGUAGCGAAAUUCCUUGUCGGGUAAGUUCCGACCUGCACGAAUCGUGUAACGAGUGCACCGCUGUCUCAACGAGGAGCUCAGCGAAGUUGUAAUGGCGGUGAAGAUGCCGCCUACCCGCAGCAGGACGGAAAGACCCUAUGCACCUUUACUGUACGCUGUUACUGUGUUUUCGAUUUUCAUGCUUAGCGUAAGUGGGAGACUUUGACUCAUGCCUUUCGGGGUAUGAUGAGUCGUCAAUGAAACACCACCCUUGGAAAUUGGAAACUCUAACCCCCCAUCAACUGGGGAGGGGACACUGGCAGCCGGUCAGUUUUACUGGGGCGGUAUCCUCCUAAAGAGUAACGGAGGAGUACGAAGUUUGGCUCAACCUGGUUGGCAAUCAGGUGACGAGUACAUGGAUAUAAGCCAGACUAACUGUGAGACCUACAAGUCGAGCAGAUGCGAAAGCAGGUCCAAGUGAUCCGGUGGUUGAAAGUGGAAUCGCCAUCGCUCAACGGACAAAAGGUACGCUAGGGAUAACAGGCUGAUCAAGUCCAAGAGCUCAUAUCGACGACUUGGUUUGGCACCUCGAUGUCGGCUCAUCACAUCCUGGGGCUGGAGAAGGUCCCAAGGGUCCGGCUGUUCGCCGGUUAAAGUGGUACGCGAGCUGGGUUCAGAACGUCGCGAGACAGUUCGGUCCUUAUCCGCUGUGGGCGCAGGAAAGUUGAGGGGUUUAAACCUUAGUACGAGAGGACCGGGUUUAACGAACCUCUGGUGUUCCAGUUGUCGUGUCAACGGCAGUGCUGGGCAGCUACGUUCGGAAGAGAUAAGCGCUGAAAGCAUCUAAGCGCCAAGCUCCUCCCAAGAUUGACUUUCCCUGAAGAGUCGUGGUAGACCACCACGUUGAUAGGCCAUAGGUAUAAGCGCAGUAAUGCGUUGAGCUUAGUGGUACUAAUAACUCGUCCGGCUUGAUCUU
Molecule: ribosomal RNA, 2852 nt
Filed under: uncultured Verrucomicrobiota bacterium
Lineage: Bacteria; Pseudomonadati; Verrucomicrobiota
Description: bacterial LSU rRNA
Rfam family: Bacterial large subunit ribosomal RNA
Source: RNAcentral